CACAGAAGAGGUGUUCUGGUCAUCUUUAUGGCCCUCCUCUGAAAAAUCCCCAACAAGUUUAUGUCCUCCUCAUGCUAUUGAAUACAAUGACAAGGCCAUGUUCAUUGGUCCUCGAGAGGAUCAAGAUUCCUGAUUUUAACUCACUAGAGGAAAGAGGUCACGAGCCAAGUGGAAGAAUAAGCCACACAACCACAAUGCUCAUCAGUGUGGAAAUCUGCUUUCAGGUCUCAGCAGCCCAGCCUUCAUUUUAUCUUACCUACCUGAUCAAGAUUCAUGGAGUGCAUAUGGGUUAAUCAGACUGUUUUAAAAAUCACUAGACAGUACAGCAUCUAAAGUCUUCGGUGGAUUCGGUCUUUAAUUUCUCAGUGUUACACUACCUCAGCUGCAAAGCAGAAUAUUGUGUUAUAUUUUUCUGUGUUUGGAUAUAGAGUUUGGAUAUACAUUGUAAAUUUUUUGAGAUUGCUCAUUAGAUGCAUUCACAUGGGGUUCUACUUCUAACUCAGUUAUGUCUCACUUUCUCUUAUUGGAUUUUUUCUCCUGUAUAAACAUUUAAAUAUCAGUUUGGGAUGGAAACCAGGUUUAAAAUCUCAUUUCUCUAGAUCUAAACAUGGUAAAUGUGGAUAUGUUAAUUUAUGUGAUCUUUUUGGACAAGGUAUUGAAUGCAAUCUAUGUUUUAAAAAGACGACUAAAGCUUCCAUGAGAAAAAGAACUCUAAAUGGGUAUACCAGUAAGGCAUAGGCAGCUGUGAAUUUAACUAUAAAGUGAAAUAAAACCUUGUUUGGUUUGUCA
This 789-nucleotide long non-coding RNA is filed under the name Parus major (Great Tit). Its description in RNAcentral is "lncRNA (ENSPMJG00000013726.1)". Lineage: Eukaryota; Metazoa; Chordata; Aves; Passeriformes; Paridae. The record is from RNAcentral.